Molecule: long non-coding RNA, 867 nt
Filed under: Anas platyrhynchos platyrhynchos (common mallard)
Lineage: Eukaryota; Metazoa; Chordata; Aves; Anseriformes; Anatidae
Description: lncRNA (ENSAPLG00000027270.1)
Source: RNAcentral
AUUAAAGUGAAUCAUCUCCAGAAGGAACAUCAAACAAAGCUUGGUGUCGUGUGCACCACAGCAGCUGUGCCAGCAGGGACUCAGGAAGAAGUUUAACUCCUCCAGGCAAGGCCAUGAUGAAAAGACCAUGUUUGGGAAGAGUUGAUACCUUCCAUCUUCCACCUACAAGACUUUCUCUCACUCUUUCCCUAACAUGUUUGAAGUGUUACCUGGCCAUACCUGUAGCAUCCUGACCUCCAGCUGACUUGUGCCUGCUGCUUCUCUGCAGCUCCCUGUCCCCUCCUACUCACUGAAAUCACCAGUUUUGUAGCUUUUGGUUUUCCAGAUCAGUGAACUGUAUAGAAAUACUUAACUUUUUUGUCCAAAAGAAAAUGACUCUACCGUUAUUAUCUCCUAUCUGAUCAAAAGCCUGCAGGAAGUUGGACUGAGGGCAUUCUCUCAAUGUUGUGGUUUUCCGAUCUUGUUUCUUCAUUUUUUAUUUUUAUGUUUCUUUUUCAUUGUACAUCUGCUCAGCUCAGUGAAAUGAUCCAACCUAUAUGGAUUCCCAUGUCAACCCUUUCUCAAUUCCUAUUUCCAUGCUGUCUCUAUCAGGAGACACCCAUCAUAUUGCGUCUGGGGUGCUUGUCUGAAUGGUUAAGUGUGCAGUUUUUAUAUAGGCUUCUCUGGGUCUCAUUUCUUAUGCAAAACAGUUUAGUGCAGAACAAGUAUAUCAGCACCUAUCUGCUUGACCUAUCUUCUAUAGUUAGUAUGUAAGACCAGCUACUGCUAUGGGUUACUCAGGAAAUCAAAAGUAGCGCACACACAAAAACAAAAACAGAAAAUAGUCUUCCACAUUGUUUAGAGUGUUAGUUUUCUUUACAUUUCCAG